GACGAACGCUGGCGGCGUGCCUAAUACAUGCCAGUAGAACGCUGAAGGAGGAGCUUGCUCUUCUGGAUGAGUUGCGAACGGGUGAGUAACGCGUAGGUAACCUGCCUGGUAGCGGGGGAUAACUAUUGGAAACGAUAGCUAAUACCGCAUAACAGUAGAUGUUGCAUGACAUUUACUUAAAAGGUGCAAUUGCAUCACUACCAGAUGGACCUGCGUUGUAUUAGCUAGUUGGUGGGGUAACGGCUCACCAAGGCGACGAUACAUAGCCGACCUGAGAGGGUGAUCGGCCACACUGGGACUGAGACACGGCCCAGACUCCUACGGGAGGCAGCAGUAGGGAAUCUUCGGCAAUGGACGGAGGUCUGACCGAGCAACGCCGCGUGAGUGAAGAAGGGUUUCGGAUCGUAAAGCUCUGUUGUAAGAGAAGAACGAGUGUGAGAGUGGAAAGUUCACACUGUGACGGUAUCUUACCAGAAAGGGACGGCUAACUACGUG
RNAcentral lists this ribosomal RNA (495 nucleotides) under uncultured bacterium. RNAcentral describes it as "partial 16S ribosomal RNA". It matches the Rfam family "Bacterial small subunit ribosomal RNA", at positions 28 to 507 of the family's 1533-position model. The record is from RNAcentral.